RNAcentral lists this ribosomal RNA (369 nucleotides) under uncultured bacterium. Its description in RNAcentral is "bacterial SSU rRNA". It matches the Rfam family "Bacterial small subunit ribosomal RNA", at positions 527 to 898 of the family's 1533-position model. The record is from RNAcentral.
GGAGGAUCCGAGCGUUAUCCGGAUUUAUUGGGUUUAAAGGGUGCGUAGGCGGCCUAUUAAGUCAGGGGUGAAAUACGGUGGCUCAACCAUCGCAGUGCCUUUGAUACUGAUGGGCUUGAAUCCAUUUGAAGUGGGCGGAAUAAGACAAGUAGCGGUGAAAUGCAUAGAUAUGUCUUAGAACUCCGAUUGCGAAGGCAGCUCACUAAGCUGGUAUUGACGCUGAUGCACGAAAGCGUGGGGAUCGAACAGGAUUAGAUACCCUGGUAGUCCACGCCCUAAACGAUGAUAACUCGAUGUUGGCGAUAGACAGCCAGCGUCUUAGCGAAAGCGUUAAGUUAUCCACCUGGGGAGUACGCCCGCAAGGGUGAA